GUGCAACUAAUUAAGUCGACCAGGUCCCUUUCCCCAUGGGGGCCUGGUGUGCGGUGGUUGCAAACAGCAGGCUUGGUAGUGUACGCAGCCUGUUACCUAUACGACUUGCCCUAAGGGACCUUGGAGACAAUU
This is a small nucleolar RNA of Myodes glareolus (Bank vole), 132 nucleotides long. RefSeq annotates it as small nucleolar RNA SNORA70. NCBI's taxonomy places the organism in Eukaryota, Metazoa, Chordata, Mammalia, Rodentia, Cricetidae. The record is from RefSeq and is a predicted model, not a curated record.